CCUACGGGAGGCAGCAGUGAGGAAUAUUGGUCAAUGGACGAAAGUCUGAACCAGCCACGUCGCGUGAAGGAAGACUGCCCUAUGGGUUGUAAACUUCUUUUAUAUGGGAGUAAAAUGCUCCACGUGUGGGAUUUUGUAUGUACCAUAUGAAUAAGGAUCGGCUAACUCCGUGCCAGCAGCCGCGGUAAUACGGAGGAUCCGAGCGUUAUCCGGAUUUAGUGGGUUUAAAGGGAGCGUAGGUGGUUUGUUAAGUCAGUUGUGAAAGGUGGCGGCUCAACCGUACAAUUGCAGUUGAGACUGGCAGGCUGGAGUACAGUAGAGGUGGGCGGAAUUCGUGGUGUAGCGGUGAAAUGCUUAGAUAUCACGAAGAACUCCGAUUGCGAAGGCAGCUCACUGGACUGCAACUGACACUGAGGCUCGAAAGUGUGGGGAUCAAACAGGAUUAGAUACCCCUGUAGUC
RNAcentral lists this ribosomal RNA (460 nucleotides) under uncultured bacterium. Its description in RNAcentral is "partial 16S ribosomal RNA". It matches the Rfam family "Bacterial small subunit ribosomal RNA", at positions 338 to 795 of the family's 1533-position model. The record is from RNAcentral.